This 554-nucleotide non-coding RNA is filed under the name Leucoagaricus sp. SymC.cos. RNAcentral describes it as "Bacterial large subunit ribosomal RNA". It matches the Rfam family "Bacterial large subunit ribosomal RNA", at positions 2084 to 2490 of the family's 2925-position model. Lineage: Eukaryota; Fungi; Basidiomycota; Agaricomycetes; Agaricales; Agaricaceae. The record is from Rfam by way of RNAcentral.
CAACAGACCCUAUGCAGCUUUACUGUAGUUAGUUAUCAUAUGAAUCUAGAACAAUCCUAGUUAAUAGAGAAUAGGGAUGUUGAAGAUCUUUUUAAGAUCGUGACAAAUAUUGGAAACCUUACAAUUAGGAUUGGGUUUGUGUUUACCUUUUUUAUUUAAAGGGAUAGUUGACUAAUUGGCAGUUUGACUGGGGCGGUCGUCUUUAAUAAAGUAGCAAAGUACAACCAAAUAUAUUUUUUUAUUACUAUUAUAUUUUACUUUAUUUUAAAGUAAAGCUAACAAAUAAAUUAGCUUGCUAGCAUCUUCUUAAUAUAAGUUAAGGAUAUGCAGUCUAGUUAUAAAAUAAUCAUAAAUUUUAUAAGGUAUAGCUAGAAAUUGAAUGGAGAUCAAUCAACCAGUGAAGGGUUGCGCAGAGUUUAAUGGCGGUAAGCAUGCUUAACUGAAAGACUCAAAAGUCGCACAGAUACGUAAGUAGGGCAUAGUGACCCCUCGCUAUAGAAUGGGAUAGACGAGGAUCAAUUGAUAAAAGUUACGCUAGGGAUAAGCUUGUUUGU